GACGAACGCUGGCGGCGUGCUUAACACAUGCAAGUCGAACGCUGAAGCCCUUUCGGGGGUGGAUGAGUGGCGAACGGGUGAGUAACACGUGGGUAAUCUGCCCUGUACUUCGGGAUAAGCCUUGGAAACGGGGUCUAAUACCGGAUAGGACCUGUCCUCGCAUGGGGGUGGGUGGAAAGUUCCGGCGGUAUGGGAUGAGCCCGCGGCCUAUCGGGUGGUUGGUGGGGUAGUGGCCUACCAAGGCGACGACGGGUAGCCGGCCUGAGAGGGUGGCUGGUAAAGCUGGGAUUGAGACACGGCCCCGACUCCUACGGGAGGCAGCAGGGGGGAAUCUUGCGCAAUGGGCGAAAGCCUGACGCAGCAACGCCGCGUGGGGGAUGACGGCCUUCGGGUUGUAAACCUCUUUCGACAUCGACGAAGGGGCCCUGUUGUGGGGUUUUGACGGUAGGUGUAGAAGAAGCACCGGCUAACUACGUGCCAGCCGCCGCGGUAA
Molecule: ribosomal RNA, 493 nt
Filed under: uncultured bacterium
Lineage: Bacteria
Description: partial 16S ribosomal RNA
Rfam family: Bacterial small subunit ribosomal RNA
Source: RNAcentral